RNAcentral lists this ribosomal RNA (495 nucleotides) under uncultured bacterium. Its description in RNAcentral is "partial 16S ribosomal RNA". It matches the Rfam family "Bacterial small subunit ribosomal RNA", at positions 28 to 507 of the family's 1533-position model. The record is from RNAcentral.
GACGAACGCUGGCGGCGUGCCUAAUACAUGCAAGUAGAACGCUGAAGGAGGAGCUUGCUUCUCUGGAUGAGUUGCGAAAGGGUGAGUAACGCGUAGGUAACCUGCCUGGUAGCGGGGGAUAACUAUUGGAAACGAUAGCUAAUACCCCAUAAGAGUAGAUGUUGCAUGACAUUUGCUUAAAAGGUGCAAUUGCCUCACUACCAGAUGGACCUGCGUUGUAUUAGCUAGUUGGUGGGGUAACGGCUCACCAAGGCGACGAUACAUAGCCGACCUGAGAGGGUGGUCGGCCACACUGGGACUAAGACACGACCCAGACUCCUGCGUGAGGCAGCAGUAGGGAAUCUUCGGCAAUGGACGGAAGUCUGACCAAGCAACGCCGCGUGAGAGAAGAAGGUUUUCGGAUCGUGAAGCUCUGUUGUAAGAGAAGAACGAGUGUGAGAGUGGAAAGUUCACACUAUGACGGUAUCUUACCAGAAAGGUACGGCUAACUACGUG